Molecule: long non-coding RNA, 6679 nt
Filed under: Coffea arabica (coffee)
Lineage: Eukaryota; Viridiplantae; Streptophyta; Magnoliopsida; Gentianales; Rubiaceae
Description: long non-coding RNA (CARA_LNC007805)
Source: RNAcentral
AAUAUACAACCACUAAUAGUCGACUAGUCGAUUACAAUCCAAAAUUCUACUCAAAAGUAAUCAAGUCGGCUUUCCCCAAAAUUCUUUCCAUUCCGAGCUCCUAUUAAGGAAAACAAACUAAUGGGCUAAGCUAACGCUCAGUGAGGCCAAGAAAAUCAUGCAAGCAUGUAAUAGAGCAAGUAGAAGAGCAUGGAACAAAAUCGAGAUAUUUCUAACUAGAAAUUGCAAGUAAUUGACAUUUCAAGUAAGGAAAGUAAAUAGAAACAAUUCAAGGAUACUGUAGCUCUCAGGAGCUAAAUUCCACGUAGCUAGGUCAAGGUCUUGAUCCAAUUCCAUGUUGACACUCCGUCAACCAAGUAAGUAUCAAAUCUGUAGAUGCUCCACUUUCUCCAGAUUCCCGUUCACCGUUACACCCCUUAUACUGGGCCUGCUCGUCAAGGUUUUGAUAUUAUUCGAGUAUAUCGUGGCAAUACUACGCGAGUAUGCCAAGCAAGAUCUCUCCAAUAGAUCAAGCUUCAUGUUUGCUCAUGGUUUACUAAGCUCCUCGACCAAGCCCAUGCCGGUUCGAUUCGCAAAGUUAGCCGAUGAGUUUGGGCAUCUCCCACGAGUAGGAUUGGUCGACGAGACAUCGCUCCAAUCGACACCAAGUCACAUACGAGUAUAGUUUCAAGUAUGAGCAAGUCAAGUAAAUCGAGUAACAAGUCAAGUAAAUCGAGUAACACGUCAAGUAAAGAGAGUGAGUGCGAUAAAGUACACACUCGUCUCGACAAGUUAAAUUCACGUAUUCAACUAGAUGCAUUUCAAGUAUUAGGCAACAAGUCAUGCACUUGACAUUCACCAAUUCAAAAUAAAUGAAUAAAUAAAUCCUUUAGUGUUCCACUCCGAGGUUUCCUUCAAUAUUCUCUUGAGCGCCUGAAGAAAUAGUGAUCAAUUAUCACUCACAUAUACUCACAAUCACUUAACAUACAAGGAAGGAAAUGUAUUUGCUUAGAUUUAGAACAAUGUCUCAAAAGAGCUCCAUUCUAUUGAAAUUCAAGAUUCAAAAGUGAGGAUUUAAAGUCACAAGGGAAAACUCGUAUCCUCCAUGAAGUCGGGUUUAAAACGAAUUAUCAAUAUCAAAAGGAAAUGAAAAGUUCUUAAAAACUUAUUUCCUACGAAAUCGGAAUUUUCCGCUUUAUGCGAUAAACUUUGUAAAAUUAGAUCUUGAGUUUGGGAAGUCCAAAAUUGGAAAAAUUUAUACCGUUGGAAACUAGAUCCAAAGUAAUAAAAGCUCCCAGAAGACACUUUUCCAAGAUUCCAAAUGGAAAGCAUUCAUUUUUCAGCUCAAAGUUGCUGAUUGAAGAAGGUAAGACAGAACCAGUCUUGGUUUUCAGCGAUAUUUGGAAAUUCGGCAAAAUUCACAGAAAGUGAAUCAACUUUUGAAAUUUGUAACACAAUAAGAAUUCCAUACAAAGUUUCAAACACAAUAAGCAGAACUAAAUUCGGAGUUUUGAGCAACAAGAUAUAACAGUUUGAAGUCGGUUGAUUUUUGUAAUCUGAUCAGUGAAUUUCCAGAUUUGAAGAGCAACGUUUGGGGCAUUAUUUAGGCAUCGAAAUGGUAUUGAAAUUACACCAAAUUUGGUACACCUAAACCUCCAUAUAGGGACUACUUAUCUAUAAAAAUUCAGGUAAAAACUCAUAUAGAAAGGCAGUUAAUGAAAUGACCAAAGUUUGGGAAAAUUUCAAAGCUAAUCUGCCAACCGUAGUUCUCUUCCUUUCUCAAACGUUUUGUCCAACACAAUCAGCCCCAAUUCGCUCCAAUUUUGAAACCAAGAUUCCAGAAACAUUUAAUAAGAAAUUGAUGGUUAAAUGACACUAAAAUUUUUGAAAUAUAACAUCCCAAAACAGAUUUGACCAUUCGGUCAGCAAGAAAGGGAAAAGUUUCCAGUUUCCAGCUUUGUUGCAUUUUCGAAAUCAAGCCUUAUCUAACUCUAUACAACUCUAAAUUGAGAAUGGUUGAUGGCGUUGGAAACUAGGUUCAAAAUGCUACAAUUUAUCACAAGACAUUGUUUUAAAAAUCCUUUCACAAGUGGAACAAAAUCAAGCCACAAGAUGCAGCUUCCCAGUUUCAUUCGAACACAUAGGCAAAGCAGAACAGCCGAUUUUGCCGAUUCGCUACGAAUCACUCAAAACGAACUAGCAGGGGAUUUUUAUACCGUUGGAAAGCUAUGAAUGUCUUGUUUUGAAUACCGCAAACAGAACUCAAUUUUGACUUUUGUGGAAAGAGUUACAUUCAGACAAAGAAACACUGUCCGAGUGCACUGUUAUACGUUUUCCAGAUUCGAACCUCUACCAAAAACUCAAGUUUUGCACAACCAUCCGAUACGAUUUUUGAAAGAUACUUUAUACACACAAUAUACAACCUAUAUCCAUCAAUUUCAUAAUCAACCAAGCAUAAAAGUUUAGAAACUAAAACAGAACAACAUGACCAGAAAUUUUGGCCGACUUGUAUUCUCAUUUUCCUUCGAUUUCUCUCCACUUUCUAACCGAAAUCAACUCUCUCAACACAUAAACAACCAUAAUCAAACAAUUAAGCCUCAAUUCAGCUACCUAGAGGUCUCAUCAAGUCAGCUAGCCUAUGAUUUAAAGCGAAAUAAAUGGUUCCUCAAGUCCGCUAGCCUAUAACGCGGUUAGGGUUUCAAACCCAUGAAGAUUAACCGCUAAACUUUGAAGAAAUGAAAGGAUUAAAGGGGUGAAGUUGUUACCCUUGAAACCCUAGAUGAAUAUCAGAUUUUUCCACUGAAAAUUCUCCAAGAAAAUCCACAAGAUUGCUCCUUGUUCCAAGAUAGAGUGGUACUCCAAGUUGUAUGCGAUUUGGUGGAGGAUUUGUGAGUGAAAUGGAAGCUUGAAGAUGAAGUUUUUCCUUCCCUUUGUUCUUCUUUGAGGGCUGGCCGAAAAUGGAGAGAGAGAUGAGAGAGAUGAGAGUUUGAUUGUUGUGGCUUGUCUUGGAAGAUUGGUGGGAAAAGUAGUGGUUAAGUUUGGCAAAAGUCAACUUUGAAUAGUUGUUGCGCGAGGGUUUCGUACGACCAUUUUCUCUUGGGUUUGAUACACUUAUGCACUAAUCCUCCAAGGUACUUCCUAUAAUGCUGUAAUUACUCAUACUUACGAGUCUAAUAUUAAUUCCUCAAGUCCCUAAUUAGUCGCGCGGUGUGACUUUCGAGAAACUUUCGACGCGCGGGUAGUAAAAGCUUAAUUUGAACUCACUCACCCCUAAUCCCUCAAUUAACUUUUCUUAGUCUACUAUUGAUCAUUCUUAAUUUUUCAAGAUUAUUGCACUGUCGGAUCGACUAUUACCUCAAAAGACGUGUAUUCGUUAUUCCUUAUUGAACGAGUCGUAGAAAAAUUAAAUUUACUAACGGGACAUUUGAAAAAUAUAAGUAAGGCAUUGUUCCAUGUAAAUGAAUUUAAAAUGGUUGAAAUAAAUUAUUCGAAAAAAACGGUUGAAUAAAUAAUCAAAUAAGCCAGUAAAAUAAGAUAAAAUAAAAAAAAUUUCGAGUCCUCACAGACAGUGCACUAGGGAUUUAAGUAAUCAACUCAUAUUAUAGAUUCAUAUUGUAAAACAAGUGUGAUACCUAAAUUUCUAUUUUCAAUAAUAAUAAAAGGCCAAUUAUGUCAUUACAUACUUUUUGGUGCGAGAUAAACUUUUUAUACAUUCAAGUAGUUUUUAUUUUGCGCCGAAGUGUAUAUUUAUAAGGUUUAGUGUGACGGCCCCACAUUCUCCUAGGGCAUACCCUAGGAGUUAGCGGUUCGCCUGUCUGACUCUCGCCAGGACUCAUUUAUUUUCAUUAACUUCGGAGAUAACAUUUCCAUUAAACAACUGACUGUUCACUCCUAGUGCAACUCCCAUCAACUUGAAACAUAAAAUUGUCCAAUAAAAGAAACAAAAUAUACAUUCUAAACAUCCAUUCUUAAUACCACAUCAAACUCAUGAUGAAAGGUUCGACCAGUUCAAGGUACAAAGGAAACCAUGACUACAAUAUAUACAUACUAACGGAUCUUCCAAAACAACUUCCUAAUUCAACUCGAUCAUUCUUCAAACUUCAAUUCCUGUAAGGAAAACAAAGCUGAGGGGAUGAGCUUACGUCCAGUGAGGUUUCCGUGCAAGCAACAAUCAAUAAACACUUAAACCAGAUAAGCCAGUAACAAAAUUAAGCAAGUAAGGAAUACUUCACUGAACAAUCACUUUUGAAAGGAUACGGUGCUCGCAUUAGAGCCACUUCAAUGCACUACACACUCCGCCGAACUCCUCCUUAUAACCUCAAAAACAGUAAACACUUCCCUUAUUUAGAUAGCCAUAUCAAUAUCAGUAAUCUGCUACUCCGUGGUAAUACUCGAGCAUACUAAUACACUUACCCAAAGCUACCAUCCUAUCCGACCAAGCCCUUUUGUUGACUCGAAUAGUCCGUUGAACAAAGGGUUUUGGGGCCCAGUUCAGCCGGUGUGGUAAAAUACACACACGACUUACAGUCAUGCACACUUACAAUAACACUUGAUCAAUUAUCAACCUUCAAGCUCAAACUAAGUUGAGUGCAAUAAAGUACACUCUCGACUUAGAAGGCGAGGGACAAUUGAAACACACUUCAUAAUAAAGUACUGGCAUAAUCAUACAAACAUCAUUUAAGUAACACAUAGGCAAUUUAAACACACAAAUGUGGAAACACUCACUUAGUCAAACAUAUUGCACUUCGGUCUCGAGAUUGCUUUUACACCCACUAGUAGUUCCUGAGACAAAUUUCAAGUACUAUGAUUAUGGCAUAAUUCUAGGAAUAGUCACUAAAUGCAGUUACUUUCAUCCCCAAUCCGGAUUCUAAGUUGGUUAUACCAAAUUUAAUCGUUAGAAGAUACCCAAAGUACAUAUAUCGUUCACUUUAGUAUAAUUUAGCUAAGUUCAAGCACAAUAAUAUUGUAUAAAAUCUACCGAGCAACUCAAGUUAAAACCAAAAUUAAUUAAGGUUAAGAUUUAGUCUUAAAGGUAGAAUAAUUGUCCAGGUUCACUUCUUCCGUUUCCUCCUAAAUUAGUCUUUUCUAAAUUAAAACUCAACGCGUACCUCAUGCAUGUCUAGUUUUAGAUGUUAAGAGAUGUAUGAAGCAAGGAUAUACUUAUUAGUAACCAAAGUUAGGGAGUUAAAGCUGAAAUUUCCCUUACUUACCCUCUCCUCGGCCCUCAUUAAAAAUUCCAACAAUGUUCCUUAAGUUUUCACUCUUAAACAACCAACUUUCACUAGAACCAAAAACAGAACAUAUGUUACGAAUGAGCACAUAACAGGAUUUCUGCAGGUCAAAUUACUAAAAUUUCUGAUACAAGUUGGAAAACCAACUCCUUUUCUCUUGGCCAAAGCUGGAGCAAUUCCAGCAAGUGAACCAACUAUAAAACAAACACAAACCAGCUCUAAACUUUACAUGCAUCACUCUAGAAACAUUAGACAAGGCAUAAAUCAUGGAUUUCAGUUACCAUCUAGCAAAAUUUCCAAGAAAUAACCAAAGUUGCAUCGUGUUCUUCUUUCCUCCUAGUUUGCUGUCUUAAUGUUCCAGAUUUGUUCCUGCUUUAAAGUUCAUCUUUUCUUACUUUUCAACUUUCAAGUGUUACAUGCAUGUCAAUAUUAAAUUAUUAUAAGGUGUGAACAAUAACAAUAUGCAAUUUACAGCCCGAAAAUCCAUGGAGAAAACUGGAAAAUUUCACCAUUUCUCUCUCUCGGUCCAUCCCAACAGGUUCCAGCAGGUUUCUUUGACAUUUCCAGCCAAGAUUACCAAUGUUUUUACUAGUUUUGCAGAUAAAUAUCCUAUAAGAUCAGAGAUAAACAUAUUUCAUGCAUUCCUAGCAUAAUUCUCCAUAGAAAAUUCAGAUAACAGCUGUAACUCAAGCAAAUAACUCUCGGUUCCUUCAAAUUUCUGUCCGACAGUUUCAUCUUCUUCUAAACAGAAUUUUACCUUAGUUAAGAAUUCAUUUUCUUUGCUAAACUCCAACAUACAGCUUAAGCUCUAUGUAUAUUAGCUGUACGAGAGAAGAUUGCAGAAUGUUUACCUUCCUUUCCACCUAGAAUCAGUAAAUUGCAGCUACUCUUUAGGUCCUCUGCUCUGACUCCUUCUAACAGCUCCCGUUACUUCCUCUCCUUCUAUCUACUCCACUUCUCACUUAGUUAAAGCUGAUAGAUGAUGAAACCGCAGGAUUUCUCUCCCUUUUUCCUCUCUCUCACUUUUGGCUCACGGUUCUGAGGUUGCAAGCUGGAGAAAUGAAGCUAGCAAAUGUCUAACUCUCUCUCCCUCUCUCUCUCUCGGUUGCAAGCUGAACAAAGAGGAACCAAAAAUAUUUUCUUUCCUCCCUCUCGGUCGUGUAUUGAGAUGAACGAAAUGUAGCUUAGUCUCUCUCAGUUUUGCUCUUAGUGUUCGGUUAGUAAGAAGAGUAAUUGGAGUUUUCUUUGCCCUUAGCCACAGCCCAAAUUUAAGCAGGUAGUUCUCUUCUUUUCCUCUCGGUUGUUUAUAUAGCUUGAAUGAAAGAAAGAACAGCAAUGCCACCUAAUUCCUCUUGCUCUCGGUUACUCCUGACUCAGCAAUUGUUCCACCGCCCAAACCAACUCCUAUUUACUUCCUCGUUCCACCGUUUAGGCUUAGUAGCUCAUUGGCAGCUGCCUUCCUUUGGUUC